CUUGCCCGUCUCCUUGCCUUCAUUUAAGAAAAGGAGUUGGUGGUUGGUGUCCACACUCAGACACUCAGAUAUAGAGAUCUUCCAUAAAUAAAUAAAAAAAGAUGCCCUGCUGCUCUGGAGAUGUAAAUGACAAACAAAAACUGGCGAAAAGAGCACUUUGGUCCUUAGAAUUGGGCAUAUAUAAAUGGAUUGGACUGAAAUAAAGACUUAAAAGAGGAUCCUGUUUGGGAAGCCCUUUCUGCAGAUCCUGAUGCCUUCCAGCACGCCGUUACAGCGCAGCUGGUGCAUCACCAGAGGGUUCUCCAUGGCCCCAGGAGUCUUGGUCUCAUUGGGGAUUAGACAGCGCACAAAGUGAGGGUGGGUGGACCGCAGACUGGAAAUGUCUGUGUGGACUCACAUACUGAGCACUACUGAUGGUUCAAAGGGAAAUAACAAUCUUAUCAGUUGUUUGGCACCUUCCCCAUGCCUUCUGCUGUUCUGAGACCAACAUGUCAUCCUUUGAAGUUUGGCCUCAAGAAAUGACAUGAAGAGGAUCCUGUUUGGGAAGCCCUUUCUGCAGAUCCUGAUGCCUUCCAGCACGCCGUUACAGCGCAGCUGGUGCAUCACCAGAGGGUUCUCCAUGGCCCCAGGAGUCUUGGUCUCAUUGGGGAUGAUGCAGCGCACAAAGUGAGGGUGGGUGGACCGCAGAAGUCUUUGAAGGCCAGUCAUGUGAGAUCAAGGUCAGACGGACUGUGGGCUAUUAUCCAUUCUGCUCUUCACUCCUUCAGCAGCAGCGUCAACACAUCAGUCCAGUUCAAGAAUGUUACUUUGCAAACAAAGGUGACCACAGCACAGAAGAACCCACGGGUCUUAGGUGGCCGUCAGUGAGUUUCACUCCUCAUCUAGCCCUUUCUGUGAUGAAGAAUGAUAAACAAAAGUAGACAAUGAAAGAUGGAUUAGUGUCAGAAAACUCAACAAGUGUUGCUCACAAUCAUUUUCUAGAUAUAUGCCAUGGCAUGAAUUGCAGGCCAUUCAAUUAACAAUAAAUUUAUGGCCAUUCUCAUCAGCCAAACUACUCUUUCUGAAAUAGUUUUGAAUAAAAAAGACAGCCAUGAUAAAUUGUGGAGAAUGAAAUUCUCAGGUUUGUAGAGACUCUUUUUUUUUUAACUCAUUAAAAAAAAACAAUACAUGUAAUGGUAAGUAUAGCAUCACAGUGACUUUAUUAGCAUGCCUAUUUUAUUAACAAGUAACUACUGACAUGAAAACAAUCAAAUCAUUGAUUGGCGUGUGCCUUGCUCAGUAAAUACAAAUGUGCAUUUAAUGUAAAAUUCAUCCAACAUCAUUACAACAUAAUAAAAAAUAAGGUUUCUGUAUACCUAACAACUUAAAAACUUUAUAAAUAACAUUUAAAGUCCUGAGGUUUAGCAUGCAAAUCUGUUCCUAAUUUGGUUCUGUCCUGCAUGCUCCCCACAUCAUCUUUGUCGCACAUCUUUGUUUUACCUCUUAAUAAUGCAGAAAAUAUUCAGAAAUAUGCCUAAACCCUAAUCAUGUUUUUGAUAGGAUUCAUUCUUUUAAGAUAAACUUGACUAACUUUAUAUUUACACCAAAUAAAAAUGAUCUGUUCACAGGA
This is a long non-coding RNA of Oryzias latipes (Japanese medaka), 1609 nucleotides long. RefSeq lists it as uncharacterized. Lineage: Eukaryota; Metazoa; Chordata; Actinopteri; Beloniformes; Adrianichthyidae. The record is from RefSeq and is a predicted model, not a curated record.